GGAGGGAGCGAGCGUUGUUCGGAAUCACUGGGCGUAAAGGGCGCGUAGGCGGCCGAGUAAGUCGUGUGUGAAAGACCGGGGCUCAACUCCGUGUACUGCAUGCGAUACUGCCCGGCUAGAGAAAGGUAGAGGCGAGUGGAAUUCCCGGUGUAGCGGUGGAAUGCGUAGAUAUCGGGAAGAACACCUGUGGCGAAGGCGGCUCGCUGGGCCUUUUCUGACGCUGAAGUGCGAAAGCGUGGGGAGCAAACAGGAUUAGAUACCCUGGUAGUCCACGCCGUAAACGAUGGGCACUAGGCGUUGGGAGGAUUGACCCUCUCAGUGCCGUAGCUAACGCGUUAAGUGCCCCCGCCUGGGGAGUACGGCCGCAAGGCUA
This 373-nucleotide ribosomal RNA is filed under the name uncultured organism. Its description in RNAcentral is "partial 16S ribosomal RNA". It matches the Rfam family "Bacterial small subunit ribosomal RNA", at positions 527 to 896 of the family's 1533-position model. The record is from RNAcentral.